This 1099-nucleotide long non-coding RNA is filed under the name Homo sapiens (human). Its description in RNAcentral is "novel transcript". Lineage: Eukaryota; Metazoa; Chordata; Mammalia; Primates; Hominidae. The record is from RNAcentral.
CAAGUGGGAGUAUAUGAGUAGAAGUGGAAGGGAGUGGGAAGGUGAAGAUUGAGGAUCCUUUUAAGUAGUUUUUGCUCAGCUAGCAAAACAAGCUGGGACAUGCAAGACAGAUAAACACAGCUGUUUGGGGCUGUCACUUGGGGCUCAGGAGCCAAGGUGUCCUGCUGUAGUGAAAAGUGCACCGGAAUUAAAUAGCUAGGCUUCUAAGCCCUACCACAGAGAGUCAACAGACAAACUGCCCAGGGAAAAGUUAUGACCUCAGGCAAAGUGAAUUUCUACAGCUAAGGCAGAUCCUGAAGAAGCUCACAAAUAAAGGCUGCAUACUCACACAUUCCCUGAAGCUUGACAGUGCCAGCCACCAUACUGUGAGGGAGCUGAAGUAAGCCCACAUGAGGAAGAAUUGAGGUCCCAAGCCAACAGCUGCAGCUAAGAUCCAAGCUCUCAACCAGUACCAGUUCAUCCGUUAUUUCCCAACAAUAUCAAUGAAUAAGAAGGAAGUCUUAAGGCUCCAGGAAUCCCCUCAGGGAGACUAGCUUUCAGAAUUUUAGGCACACUAAGAUAUGGAAGCUAAAAGAGGACUAAGAGGAUUCUGGGGAUAUUACAAGAUAUUGCAGACUAUCUUGUUUUCCUGGAAAAGGAUUUUACCUCAGUCGACUGAAUUACUUUUUUCACUGUGUCUUGCCACUCUUCGUGCAUGCAUCAAAGACCCUAAUAUGACUUCUGGUGGCCUGGGACUCCUUGGGAAAACAGAAAAGGGGCCACAAAUCCCAUUUUGGGAACAAUCUGUUUUACUCAUGGAACCCCUGGAAUUAGAGGUGUGUAAGUACCUCUCAAAAUCUGUCUUUGUCUUCUGGCUAUGCUUUUUAUGAGGCCCUGGAAUUUGUAGUCCUAGCCCUGUUCUUAGAGUGUCUCACUAGGAGGCGUAAUAAUCCAAUUAGGAAACUAGCCAAUGAAAAAUCUCAUAACUACUGGAUCUUCUUCUGUUUAUCUGUGUGGUUACAUAUGUGUUAUGUGUGUAAUAUCUAUUAAAAAGGGCUCUAAUUAAUUGGCCUAAGAACAGUAAGCACUUAAAUAAAAUAUUUUUAAGGGAAAAGUAAAA